UUAAGUCCCGCAACGAGCGCAACCCUUAUCUUUAAUUGCCAGCAUUCAGUUGGGCACUUUAAAGAGACUGCCGGUGUUAAACCGGAGGAAGGUGGGGAUGACGUCAAGUCCUCAUGGCCUUUAUGCUUAGGGCUACACACGUGCUACAAUGGGUGGUACAAAGAGAAGCCAACUCGCGAGAGCGCGCCAAUCUCAAAAAGCCAUCCUCAGUUCGGAUUGGAGUCUGCAACUCGACUCCAUGAAGUUGGAAUCGCUAGUAAUCGCGGAUCAGCAUGCCGCGGUCGAAUACGUUCCCGGGCCUU
Molecule: ribosomal RNA, 302 nt
Filed under: uncultured Smithella sp.
Lineage: Bacteria; Pseudomonadati; Thermodesulfobacteriota; Syntrophia; Syntrophales; Smithellaceae
Description: bacterial SSU rRNA
Rfam family: Bacterial small subunit ribosomal RNA
Source: RNAcentral